This 852-nucleotide long non-coding RNA is filed under the name Brachypodium distachyon (stiff brome). Its description in RNAcentral is "long non-coding RNA (BDIS_LNC003447)". The record is from RNAcentral. Lineage: Eukaryota; Viridiplantae; Streptophyta; Magnoliopsida; Poales; Poaceae.
CGUCGUCGUUCCAGAACCGUCCGUGUACCGCGCCUAUGCUCCGUUCCCGGCCUCUCCUCGGCUGCCACGGAUGACAAACUUCCAACCAAGAUACUGGAAGUGUCUACGGCUCAGUCGGCUGAGAAAUCGUAUUUCUCUAUCUGUCCGUGUGUGUGAGAGCAUGUAUACUUGUGUGUGAGUGAGUGUACGCGUGUUAAUUGGCACCUAGAAAUAAUUUCACAUUACUAGCUGCUGCUUGGAGUUUGGACAGCUAAAUGCAUGUGCGACCGAGUGUUCUUCGGUUCUAUUUUUUGGCCACUCCGUUGGUACUGGCUUGAUAAAUGAUCGAUCCUGAUGAAAUUACACUUUCACGGUACAGCCAAACUUCACGGACAAAGGAAAAAUGCAACAAAAAAAAUAACAAUCAAAUUUUAUGCCUGAUUUUAAAAUUGCAGCUUAAACUUUAUGCGCGAUUCUAAAAAUUGCGGAUGAAAUUUUAUGCACGAUUCUAAAAAUUGCAGGUGAAAGUUUAUGCGUGAUUCUCAAAUUGCAGGUGAAACUUUUUGCGCGAUUCUAAAAAGUCAGGUGAAACUUUAUGCGGGAUUCUAAAAUUGCAGGUGAAAGUUAUGCACGAUUCUAAAAUUUCAGGUGAAAUAUUUAAAAUUGCAAGUGAAAUUUUCGGAAUACGCAACUCGUCCAAAAGAAAAUUGAGAUAAAAAAAUGUACAAAUUAUCGUAUAAUUUACGUUAGUGCACAUAUAUAAAGUUAAAAACAAAAAAUGUAAGAUAAUAAAAAAUUAAAAAAAAUGAAACGAUUUAUAAAUUAUAAACCAAAAAUAAAAAAAGGAAACAAAAAGCGAAAAGAAACUGGGAA